GUAGACUUGGGUUUCCGUGAAAAUUCAAGAAUGGUUGUCCAUGCAAGAAAGUUAAUUGUUUUGGGUUUUCCAAGGAUGAGGGCCCGCAAAUGUUCAAGAGAACGAGAACCCCGACUUUGUUUAGAACAUCAGAGUAGAAGUUGAAUGUUGAAAUGAAAUUCUUCUUGCAUACAGUUAGGCUGCCCAAGUCUGUCCUUAUUCACCAGCCUAAGAUUUUAAUGUAGAACAUAGAGGAUUGCGUGCUUUCUUGAUAUAAAGUCUUCCCGCUGUUGAAAUCAAAAAAUCUCUGCAAGAAAGUCCCCAUUUAUAUUCAUGUGUUGUGCUUGUCGGAGGAGAUGUUCUUGGACAAGUAUAUAUCACAAGUCAGAAAAAAUGCAGUGGAGUCAUUAGUAGCAUACGAAGGUCAUUAUCUCGAGGCAUAACCAACAUUCAAUUCUGUUUUUUUCACUCUUCCACAGGUUCUAAUACUGAAAUUAUUUUGACAGUGUUGUGCAUGCUUAAUUUAGUUUCUUAUAUUUUUUAGUUUUUUUUCAAGGCAACGCUACCAAAUAUCCUUUCCUUCUACACAGUAGCAAAAGUAGACCUGAUUAGACAUGAGUCUCCUUGUCUCAAGCAAAGCCCAUGUGGGGAGUGGAGGAAAUUAAAAAAGAAAUGGGUUGAUUUCAAAUCCACAAAAGUACACAGAAUCAACGUUGAUGAUUUUGAAUUAUGGUGUGCUUUUGUGGGGUUGAAUUAUACAGUGUUUAAGGAUCGAUAUGUACUUUUGUUGGUUUGAUUUAUACGGUGUUUAAGGAUCCAUGAAUGUGCUUGCUUUUGUUGGUUAAUUAUACGGUGUUUAAAGAUCGAUCGGUGUGCAUUUGUCGGAUUGAAUUAUAUGGUGUGCUUUUGUCGGAUUGAAUUAUAUGGUGUUUAACUAUCAAUUGAUGUGCUUUUGUCGGAUUGAAUAAUAUCAGUUCUUUUAUCGCAAGAAUUAUCACUCAGUUCUUUUAUCACAAGAAUUAUCACUAGAUCGUGGAGGCAGCUGUAGAUUAUUUUUCUUACAAUAAUGCUUAUUAAGUUUCCAUUUACUAUUUUUCUUAUGUGCUCAAGGUAGUCUCUCUUAUUGUUUGUAAGAAGGUACAUUUGUCAGUGAUGUUGAUUAUCUAUCGAAGAACAAUACUUGAUCGUGAACAAUAUGAUCAUCGAGUCUGUUAUGAGACUUCUCCGUUGGUUUUUUCAAUUAUUGUAUUUGAUUAUUUAUCUUAUCUUCUAGGUCCUUCAACUCCUUCCUAGAUUGAUUGUGCUUUGCAGGGAAUCUAAGAAUUGAAGUGAGGGCAGGGUGUGCAAAUGAAUGUCGGUUGUGGAGGCAAUGGCGGGAGAUUAUUGUUUGGAAUGGCUGUAGUCUCUCAUUGGUGGUAGUCUCUCUCGUUUUAUUACGUUUCCAUUCACAAUUGUUCUUAACUGGUCGAUUUGGAAUGGCUGUAGUCUCUUGAAUUGGUUGUCGGAAGGUACAUGUAUCAGUCAGGAACAAUACUGUUAUGGUCUGAGGCUAAGGAUUUUAUUUUGCCAGUACAGUGCUAUGUUUUCUGGAUUAUCUUUUAACUGGCUAAACUGGUUUGUUAUGCAAGAGUACUGUUACAAAAUGACAUUUGAGGUGGAUUUGUCUGCUACAUUUUUGUGUUCUGGGUUUACAAAAGGCAUUGUGGGAUGAGCGUGGUUGACAAGUUCUGUUGGGCUUAGAGCACACACCAAGGAGUCUGGCACUUCUCUUUCUUUGAGUAAUAAAAAUUAUGGAAGAGUUUAGAACGGUUUAAAACAGCACGUGAUCACUGAUCUUAGCUUGUGUUUGGAGUGACUAAGGCUACCUUGGUUUUAUGGGAUCAUCUUCCCUGAGUAAGUUGAUUGGCUCAUUAUGACAACUUUCCCCUGGCUACAGCUUCAUGACACGCGUCCUGCAUCCAUGCUUUGCACGUUCGGAAUGUUUGAGAUUCAACUUUGAGUAGCAACCGUUACUAUUCCCUCUUUUUUCAAAUAUACUUCUGCAAACCGCUCGAGAUUUUUUCUUCUUUCAUCUACUUCCAUGCCAUUUGCUUGCUGUCAUUUCUUUUUCAGGGCAGACACGGUGUAUGGAUGUGUGGUGUGGGAGAUAAUCACGUCUCGAAUCUCUAAGAUUUCUUUUGGCGGUUGAGCAUGUAGAAUCGAGUUUUGAUGGCUGUAGCUCCCAAUAUCCUAAUUUCUUGACGAGUGUUCUCUCUUAUUAACUUUCUCUCGACUUGAUCAUGACUUGAUCACCAAACAUUAAGGAUUGAAUUGUGAUUUGUUACUCGGAAACUUUAGGUUUUGUUAUUGUCACAUUUUUUUUUGCAUUUAUCUUUGAUUGGCUAUUUGUUGACGAAUGUGAAUAUAGCCAGGUGUGUGAUCCGCGAUUGUGUUGAGGAUUAAAUAAUAAUACGAUAUCCAGGGUAAUAUAAUAUCUUGGAUGAGUUUCAUUUCUAUUAUUUAACUUCUUUGAACCUGAACUUCAAAUAUAGGGAUUCAAUUGCGAUUUGUUUUUCUGCAGCAAUGUUUGGGGGAUUUGUUUAGUGUAACAUUUGUCUCAUUGAGCAUAUAUUAGGAGUGAAGAUGUCUGCAGGGACUGAUGUGAGGUUGGAUGUGGAAACACCAUCAAGGGGAUUUGUCAAGCUUUAGGUUUUGUAACCUUUACAUUUUUUAUGUCAUUAUUUGUGAUUAGCUAAACUUGUUUGGAUUCUACGUUUUGGUUGGAUUCAUUGCUGACCUUGCAGUGUGGCUGUCAGUUCUUGUGGGUUUUUUAACAUGCACUAUCAGACUAUUGGUGGCACUGCAAUUUGGGUAGGAUUUGUCUGGCAUGGUGAUUGUAGUGAAGAGGAUAUCUGAUUGAUCGUGGAGGCAAUAGUUGUAGAUUAUUGAACUUACCAUAAAGGAUGUCUCUUUUAUUGGUUGUAGGAAGGUACAUGUGUCAGCCAUGGUGAUUGUUUUCAUUUACUCAUGUUUAAGCUAAGAGGAUGUAUCCUUGAGGAAAUUACUCUAGAUUAGUAAACUUAUUGCAAAGCUAUAUGUUUUAUUACGUUUCCAUUUACUAUUUUUCUUAUGUGCUCAGGUGAGAAUGACUAUGGUCUCUCUUAUUAGUUGUAAGAAGGUACAUGUAUCAGCCAUUGUGUUUGUCUAAGCAAUGGCAAUACUUGGUCUCUGAAAUUUGAUCAUAAGUUUGUUAUGGAAUUUUCUCCAUCAAUGUUUUAUUGAAUUUGUUUGUUGAUCUUAUUGUAUAGAGCUUCCAUCUUCUACCUAGAUUAAUUAUUUUUUUUAUUCAUGGGUUGUACAGGGAAACUACGAAAUGAAAUGGAUGAAGGGUGUGCAAAUGGUGGAUGGAGAUCCGGUGAAACCUUAGCUUUUAUUAUCUAUGUAUUCAAUGGGAUUUGUUAUAAAUUGGCUUUAUAUGAGUGAGAUUUCUUUUGCGAUUGCGUAUCAAAAAUCUUCAGUUAGGAACGGUUUACGACAUGGAACCUAAUAUCUGAGUUUGCUCUUUAUAUAAUUUCUCUGCAUUGGUAUUUUGGGUUUGUUUCUUGUAUUUUUAGCCUAUUAUUAGCAUUUACGUCUCCCUUGGUUUUUGAAUUACCGAACUGCAUGACUUUUAAGCAUGUGAGGAUUGAAAAACAUAAGUGUUAGGAAUGGCUAAGAACUCGUAAUAAACAUUGGCAUUCAACUGCCGUUUGUUUCUCUGCACAGGUGUUUCUCUUAUGCAGUUGAAGUGGAAUUUGUUGUUGAAGAACGGGCCAUCUUCUAUUUUUACUUUUCCUUGGUCUUCGAUGAGCUCAUUUCACCAAUUUUUUGUGCUUCGUUGGGUUCUCACAGUGAAAUCAAGUGUGGUCGUUUGUGGAAGAAAUUAACUAUCCUAUAAAAUAUGGUUUGGUGAUUUUGUAUUGAUUUGGGUGAAGUAUAUGGUGUUACCAUCAAUUGAUGUGGUCAAAUUUUGGUGUUAAAGAGAGUUUAGUAUGACUUUCAUUCUGAUUCUUGCAUAUGAUUUGCACUCUUCGGUACUCCAAAAUCACAGCUCUUUUGACUCCUUUCAGUUUGGGGUCUCCAAAUUUAUGAUAGGAUGUGGGAACUAGAUGCUAUCUUGUUGCAGACUAUUUUACUCAAUCUUAGUCCCUUGCCGAUUUUCUUCAAUCUCAACUUUUGCUAAUACAUAUGUGGGCACAGGUUUUGGAAGCUGUGAAUGAAGAUCCAGGCAAACUUCAGGUUUUAUUAUCUUUGCGUUCAUUAUUUUCUCUGAAGUUAUUCUUCUGGCUACAUUUGUGGCGUGGUGACAGGCACCACAUGAGUAUAAGAGGCAUUGACAUUUGUAUUGUUUGGCCUUUAACUCGUUUUGCAGUGAUGUCUAGACUUACUUUGGAUGUCUUUGGUUAUGGACGCAAUGGAGGUAGAUUUUUUUUUUGAACGUCUGGUCUCUCUUAAUGGUUGAAUAGUGAGAAGGUGCAUCUCAUUUUGUUGUGUUUCCAUUCACUACUUUUCUUAUGCGCUUGAUUUGGAAGGUACUUGGUCACUAAUCAUUAUGAUCAUCGAGUCUGUUAUGGGAAUAUCUCCAUUGUUUUUUAAUUAUUGAAUUCAUCUUUUCGCCUAUGAAGCCAAGCAAUGAAGUGUGUUGUAGAUGUGCAAAUUGUGUGUGGAAGUUCUGUGGUAUGUGAAGCUAGAGGGUUUAUUUACCGUUACUUUGCUGUGCUCUUAUGAUCCAAUUUUUAAAUGGCUAUAUCUUGUUAGUUUGAUUAUGAUCUUAUUUGUAUUGAUGGUAGUAUGUCGACAGUCUGGGAUUUUGUCAUGGGCACUGGAAACUGCAAACUAACACUUGAGGAGGAUUUGUCCUCUAUGUUUUUAUGAGUUCUGGGUUUAUGAAAGGCAUUGUGGGAUUCUUAAUUAGCUCGUUAUCCUAGAACAAAAAUAAUUUGGCGAAAAUAUGUUAAAUCGGUGGGUGGUGGGCAGGUUUCAGAAACAUUGGACGGAGAUCUAGUGAAACCUUAGGCUUUACUAUCUUUGAAUUCAUUAUUUUCAUUGCCGUUAUUCUUUAGGCUAAACUUUUCUAGUGGGAGAUCUUGAGGCUUUACUAUUUUUGAAUUCAUUAUUUUCAUUUCUGUUUAUUCUUUAGGCUAAACUUUUGGAGUGGGAGUUCUUGUUGAUUUUGAUUAUCUUCUUAUACUAGUGUUGCAGUGAUGACAAUGUGUAUUGGAUCGUAGAGGUAAUAGUUAUAGAUUAUUUAACAUACUACAAAGCUUUAUGUUUCGUUACGAUUCUAUUUACUAUUUUUCUUAUAUGUGCUCGAGUUGGAAUGGCUGAAGUCUCUCAUAUUGGUUGUAGGAAGGUACAUGUGUCAGCCAUGAUGUUUGUCUAAGCAAGAGUAAUACUUGAUAGCUGAACAUUAUGAUAAUCGAGUGUGUUAUGGGAAUUUCUCAACCGAUUUUUCAAUUCCUAAAUCACCAUAUCAUCUAUGUCCUUCAUCUUCCACCUAGAUUGAUUGAAUUUUUAUUGAAUUCGUGGGUUAUUUCAGGGAAUCUAAGAAAUGAAGUGGGUACAGGGUGUGCAACUGGUGGGUGGUGGGAAGGGUUCAGAAAUCUGGCAAAACCUUAGGUUUUAUUAUCUUUGAAUUCAUUAUUUUCUUUGAUGUUAUUCUUCUUGCUAAACUUGUGGAGUGAGUGGGUGAUCUGUAAAUAGGCACUAUAUGAGAGGCUGUUGGCUCUGUUGAUUUUGAUUGUUUUCUUGUUCUCAUGUUACAACUAAAAGGAUGUGUGUUGUAUCCUAGAGGCAAUAUUUGUUCAGUAUUAAACUUAUUGCAAAGCUUUAUAUUUUAUUACGUUUCAAUUUACUAUUUUCUUAUGUACUAUAGUGUGAAUGACUAUAGUCUCUCUAAUGGUAGUAGGAAGGUACAUGUGUCAGCUAUUCUGUUUGACUAAGCAAUGGCACUACAUGAUUGCUUAAAUUAUGAUCAUCCAAUCUGUUAUUGAAAUUUAUCCCUUGGUUUUUUAGGUAUUGAAUUUCUUUAUUCAUCUUAUCACGUAGGUCUUUCUUUUCAACCCAAAUUCAUUAAAGUUUUUUUAAAUUAAUGGGUUGUAUAUCGAUACUACGAAUUAAAAUGGUUGUCAGGUGUGCAAAUGGUGGAUGGUGGCAUGUUUUGGGAACAAUGGAUGAAGAUCCGGUUAAAACUUAGGUUUUAUUAUUUAUGCAUUCAGUAUUUUCAUUACCUGGAGAAACUUGUGGAGUGGGAGAUCUUGUAAUUAGGUACUAUAUGAGUGAGAGGCUUUGACAUUUGUGUUUUUGGACUGUUGACUCAGUUGACUUUGAUUAUCAUCCUAGAGGCAAUAGCUGUAAAUGACUAUUGUUUUAUUAUGAUUCCAUUUAGUAUUUUUCUUAUGUGUUGGAGUUGAAAUGACUAAUGUUUCUCUUAUUGGUCGUAGAUGGCACAUGUGUCAACCAUUGUGUUUGUCCAAAGAGGAGCAAUUCUUGAUUGCUGAUAUUUUUAUUUGUUUAUCCAUCUUAUCGUCUAGGUCCUUCAUCUUUUACCCAGAUUGAUUAAAGUUUUCUUAAAUUCAUGGGCUCCACAGGGAAACUACGAAAUGAAGUCAUUCCAUAGUAUGCAACUGGUGGGUUGUGGCCAUUGUGGAUGGAGAUCCGAUGAACUUGGGUUUUAUUAUCUUUGCAUUCUGUAUUUUCAUUGUCGUAUUCUCCAGGCCAAACUUGUGGAAUGUGGAUGAUCUAGCAAAUUGGCACUAUAUGCUUGAGAAACUUUGAUAUUUGUGUUGUUGGGCGGUUGUCUCUGUUGAUUUUCAUUAUCUAUUUCUACUAGUGUUGCAAUGCAGAGGAUGUCUAUUUGAUCGUGGAGGCAAUAGUUGUAGAGUGUGCAAAUGGUGGGUGGUGGUCAGGUUUCAGAAACAGUGGAUGGUGAAACAUCAAGUUUUAUUUUCUCUGUAUUCAGUAUUUUCACUGUCGUUAUUCUUCAGGCCAAACUUGUGGAGUUGUUGAUCUUGUAAAUAGGUAUUAUAUAAUUGUGAGGACAUUUGUGUUGUUAGACUGUUUGACUCUUGCAAUUUGAUUAUCUUCUUCUAAUCAUCUUGCAGUGAAGAGGACUAUUGGACUGUGGAGGAAAUAGCUGUAGAUUAUUUAACAUACUACAAAGCUUUAUGUUUUAUUUCGUUUCUAUUCACUAUUUUUCCUAUGUUUGGAAUGGUCGAAGUCUCUCCUAUUGGUUUGUAGGAAGGUACGUGUGUCAGCCAUGGUGUUUGUCUAAGCAAGAGCAAUACUUGAUUGUUAAACAUUAAGAUCAUUGUGGAAAUUUGUGGAAACUUCUCCGUUGGAUUUUUUAAUUAUUAAAUUCGUUAUUCAUAUAUGGCUAGGUCCUUCAUCUUUUACCAGUUUGAUUAUAGUUUUCUUGAAUUCAGGGAAACUAAGAAAUGAAGUGGGUCCAGAGUGUGCAAGGUGGGAAGGUUUUAGAAACAGUAGAUGUUGAUCCGUUGAAACAUUAGGUUUUGUUAUCUUUGUAUGCAGUAUUUUCACUGCAUUUAUUCUUCAGGACAGACUUUUGGAGUGGUUGUUGGAGGACUGUUUACUCUGUUGAUUUUGAUGAAGAGGAUGUUUAUCGGAUCGUGGAGGCAAUAACUGUAGAUUAGGUAACAUACUACAAAGAUUUACAUUUUAUUACGUUUUUAUUUACGAUUUUUCUUAUGCGUUUGAGUUGGAAUGGCUGAAGUCUCUCCUAUUGGUUGUAGGAAGGUACAUGUGUCGGCCAUGAUGAGUAAGAGCAAUACUUGAUUGCCAAUGUUAUUUCAUCGAGUGUUUUAUGGGAAUUUCUCCAUUGGUUUUGUAAUUCUUGAAUUUGUGAAUUUGUCUUCUUGUCUAAGUCCUUCGUCUUCCCCUUGAUUGAUUAAAUUUGUCUUAGAUUCAUGGGUGUUUGAAAGAAAGUAAGAAAUGGAGUGGAUGGAGAUACGGUGAAACCUUAGGUUUUAUUAUCUUCACAUUCAUCAUUCCCUUUGCUGUUAUUCUCCAUGCUAAAUAUCUUGUAAAUAGGCACUAUAUCAAUGAGAAGCUUUGACAUGUGUUGUUGGAUUGUUAAUCUUGUUUAUGUUGAUUGUCUCUUCUACUCGUGUUGCAACAAAUAGGAUGUCUGUAUUGAAUUUACUACAAAGCUUUAUGUUUUUCUAGUUUCUAUAUAUUAUUAUCUAAGAAGCCUGCAGCUGACGGCACUAUGAUGGCUGAAAGGUUGGAGGGCGAAGGCGACGGCAUGUGGGAAGGAUCAUGGCACGUGUCAUCAUGUGUCAUCAUGUAAUUGGACAGAUUAAUUAGUAGAGGAUUGUUACAGGUUGAGUGGAGUUUAAGUGAUAGAAGAGGUGGAGAACAGGUUGUUUUGGAGGUCCACCUCAGGAGGAGUAUGUAAAUAAAAAUUGGGGUGUAUUUAGCUCUUGACUAUUUUUUUCCAGAAUUUGUUGAUUUUGGACUUAUUUUGUAACUUUGAAUAUUUUAAAUCUAUACUUUUAAUGAUCCAAA
Molecule: long non-coding RNA, 8523 nt
Organism: Vigna unguiculata (cowpea)
Lineage: Eukaryota; Viridiplantae; Streptophyta; Magnoliopsida; Fabales; Fabaceae
Source: RefSeq, a predicted model, not a curated record